RNAcentral lists this ribosomal RNA (415 nucleotides) under uncultured bacterium. RNAcentral's name for it is "bacterial SSU rRNA". It matches the Rfam family "Bacterial small subunit ribosomal RNA", at positions 77 to 507 of the family's 1533-position model. The record is from RNAcentral.
GUCCGGUCGGUACACGAGUGGCGAACGGGUGAGUAACACGUGGGUGAUCUGCCCUGCACUUCGGGAUAAGCCUGGGAAACUGGGUCUAAUACCGGAUAGGACUCCUGGCUUCAUGGUUGGGGGUGUAAAGCUUUUGCGGUGUGGGAUGGGCCCGCGGCCUAUCAGCUUGUUGGUGGGGUAAUGGCCUACCAAGGCGACGACGGGUAGCCGGCCUGAGAGGGUGACCGGCCACACUGGGACUGAGAUACGGCCCAGACUCCUACGGGAGGCAGCAGUGGGGAAUAUUGCACAAUGGGCGCAAGCCUGAUGCAGCGACGCCGCGUGAGGGAUGACGGCCUUCGGGUUGUAAACCUCUUUCAAUAGGGACGAAGCGCAAGUGACGGUACCUAUAGAAGAAGGACCGGCCAACUACGUG